CUCCUUCCUCUGAGCUCAGCCCGGCGGAGAGGAGAGAAGAGGACCUCGGGCCCCGUUUCUUCCCCCGGGAGCGGGGGUGCUCCCGCUGCAGCCCGCCCGGCGAAGAGCAGGCACCGUCCCCCACCGCCCCGCGGAGCAGGUGCACAGCCCAGCUGCCUGCUGGCAGGGCCAGGGAGGCGCAGCUGGACGCAGCGAUCGGCGGGGCCUGGCGAAUCUCAGCCAGACAGCGGGAUUCCCCCAGCCGCAGCCUGCUCUGCAUAAUAUAGGAGCGGCCCAGCGGCGAGGCGCGGAGCUGGAAGCACAAACAGGAGAUCAGGAGGUUGUAGACGCUUCCCGGUUGUUUAACUGCGCUUCGGGUUGUCCCGCUGCCCCCGCUCUGAGCAAAGUGAAGAGCCCGAUUAGGACUUUAAGGCUCAGGCCACCCCUGUGACUAGGUAUUUAAACAACAAGUGGAGAUUGUCGUUAGCUGUUUGACAAAGGUCAGUCUCUUUUUGUUAUGUCUUGGAGAUGUUCUCUCCUACAAGUAGGCUGGGCAACAGGCUGUUAAGAGGGGAAACACACCCUUCUGUGUGUGUGUGUGUGUGUGUGUGUGUGUAACGGAGAGAAUCAUUGACAGGAAGGGCAAUUUUCAAACAAUUCAUGAUUAAAAUAUAAAUCCAUCUAUCUCUUGCUAAUUCUUUGUAUGGUUUCUUGAAUAUUGUAUUAAAUGUUUUACAUGCACAGGUAAUUUCCUCCAAAAAAAAAUAUGGUAGUGUCUAGGGACACCCAGAAGAGGGCUUCCAUGUGCUAGGUAAUGUACAAACACAGAGAGAAGCAGCUCCUUCCCCAAAGAGCUUCAGUCUAAAUAGACAGGACAAAGGGAUAGGGGAAGGGGUAGAACACACAGCAGAGUGAUUAAUGAGAUGGCUGCAAACUUGAUGUUAAUUGUACAAUCAACCAUGAACUAUUGUACAUAUUCAGACACGUUCGGUGCUAUAUUUCAUUGCUUCAGUGUGUUCUAUGAAGAGGGAAGAGGCAUCUGUCUGCAACCAAGGCACCCAAAUACCCCUGAAAAUCUGGGUAACAUUUUCAGAAACACCCAAGAGACCCAUCCUCAGAUGUGACCCCAGAGCCCACGUCUCAUUGCAAGUCAGAUGCUACAGGGUCAUCAAAAGAUCAAACCGCUUUAUAGAACAGUGUAUAUAAAAUGUAUAUGCAGAGUAUGUAACAAACAUGUGUAGUGUUUUAGAUAAAUGGUUCAGAUGUCUGUUCUUGGACCCAAUCCAAUUUUCAUAGCAG
Molecule: long non-coding RNA, 1278 nt
Filed under: Gopherus agassizii (Agassiz's desert tortoise)
Lineage: Eukaryota; Metazoa; Chordata; Testudines; Testudinidae
Description: lncRNA (ENSGAGG00000015628.1)
Source: RNAcentral